This 485-nucleotide ribosomal RNA is filed under the name uncultured bacterium. RNAcentral describes it as "bacterial SSU rRNA". It matches the Rfam family "Bacterial small subunit ribosomal RNA", at positions 28 to 518 of the family's 1533-position model. The record is from RNAcentral.
GAUGAACGCUAGCGACAGGCUUAACACAUGCAAGUCGAGGGGCAGCAUGAUUUGUAGCAAUACAGAUUGAUGGCGACCGGCGCACGGGUGAGUAACGCGUAUGCAACUUACCUAUCAGAGGGGGAUAGCCCGGCGAAAGUCGGAUUAAUACCCCCAUAAAACAGGGGUCCCGCAUGGGAAUAUUUGUUAAAGAUUCAUCGCUGAUAGAUAGGCAUGCGUUCCAUUAGGCAGUUGGUGGGGUAACGGCCCACCAAGCCUUCGAUGGAUAGGGGUUCUGAGAGGAAGGUCCCCCACAUUGGAACUGAGACACGGUCCAAACUCCUACGGGAGGCAGCAGUGAGGAAUAUUGCACAAUGGGGGAAACCCUGAUGCAGCGACGCCGCGUGAGCGAAGAAGUAUUUCGGUAUGUAAAGCUCUAUCAGCAGGGAAGAAGAAUGACGGUACCUGACUAAGAAGCACCGGCUAAAAUACGUGCCAGCAGCCGC